This 506-nucleotide ribosomal RNA is filed under the name uncultured Glomeromycotina. RNAcentral's name for it is "partial small subunit ribosomal RNA". It matches the Rfam family "Eukaryotic small subunit ribosomal RNA", at positions 591 to 1092 of the family's 1831-position model. The record is from RNAcentral. Lineage: Eukaryota; Fungi; Glomeromycota.
CCAAUAGCGUAUAUUAAAGUUGUUGCAGUUAAAAAGCUCGUAGUUGAAUUUCGGGAUUGACGUGAUGGUCGUGCCUUAAGGGGUAUGAACUGUCGCUGUUGAUUUCUCACCUUCUGGAGAAACUUGAUGUCCUUAAUUGGGUGUCUUGCGGAUCCAGGACCUUUACCUUGAAAAAAUUAGAGUGUUUAAAGCAGGCAUUUUGCUCGAAUACAUUAGCAUGGAAUAAUAGAAUAGGACGGCAUGGUUCUAUUUUGUUGGUUUCUAGGAUCACCGUAAUGAUUAAUAGGGAUAGUUGGGGGCAUUAGUAUUCAAUUGUCAGAGGUGAAAUUCUUGGAUUUAUUGAAGACUAACUACUGCGAAAGCAUUUGCCAAGGAUGAUUUCAUUAAUCAAGAACGAAAGUUAGGGGAUCGAAGACGAUCAGAUACCGUCGUAGUCUUAACCAUAAACUAUGCCGACUAGGAAUCAGACGAUGUUAAUUUUUUAAUGACUCGUUUGGCACCUUACG